AGAAAUCAUUCAGUUUCAGCUGUUUUUUUUUUCCUGCAGACCUCCCCCUCCCCUAUAGCAGCAGACCGGGGCUCGCAGAUGACUGAACUCUGCAGCCAAACCCUAAUUGUGUGUUCGUGUGUCUGCAUUUUUUUCCCCCCACUUGACAUGAAGAAGGAAGCUUCAGCGAGCAUUUGUUCUCUCAGGGUGUAAAUGGAAGUUGUGGACCUUUGGAGUGGAUUUGUUUGACUGAAAAAAAGAAAGUGGAAGGGACUGAAUCUAGCUGGGAGAAAUUACUAUAGUUUGGUUGCCAUGUGGCGCUGCUGGAUGAACUUCAUCUUGGCCUGGGUAUCCAUGGCAACCCCGACACUCUGCCAAAGUGGAGACGGUGAUUGGGGUUCAGGAUUUGACAUCUCCUCCACAAUAAUGGCCACCAAUGACACGUUGCAGGCGGUCGGUGACGAGCCGGUAAAAACCAGCCGUGACUGGACCCCAUUAGCUCCGUCGCCGUCGCCCGUCCUCCACUUUGAGCCCCAACCGGACAAGUGCUCCGUCUAUUUCAACACUAACGCAGCGUCAGCUCGGAGGCUGAAGGCCCAGAGGGAGGAGCUGGACUACCUGAGGGCCAUACAGCACGGAAACAAGGCGGUGAUGGAGAACCUGGUGCAGUAUGUGGGGGCGGAGCUAGGCGACCAGAGCUACGAAGACGUGAUCAAGGAAAACGUCAUGGGAACCCAAGAGGACCACAAGAGCUGCCAUGAGGUGGUGGAGAAGGCUGAGGAAGAUCUGGAGAAGCAGCUGGAGGGGGAUGUGCUGUCCUCCCUCGCUGGGAUGCAGAAAAUCAGAGAAGAGUCCUUGGCCUUUGAUGACAUGCUUCGUGCUGCAGCCGACAUCGCCAGCCGGCUGGAGAGCUCAUCACAGGCGCUGCAUGCUUCAUUCACCAAGCAGCUGAAAGACAUUGGCAAAAUCCACCGCUAAGAACGUGCUGAGGCCUGUUUAAAAAGUGCUCACAUGCCAUCCUUGAACUUGUAUUUGACAUCCUGUGUGAGGCCCCGAAAGGGAUAGAGAUGGAAAAACAACUUUUCUACAAAUGUAUGUUCACAUUUUUAUGUAUAUGUGUUAUUCAACAACGUGUCAAGGUCAGCUUUUAGUAAUCAACACAGACGCACAGCAAGCAAAGAAAAAUGCUGGGUAGAAAAUCAUAACGUCGUAACCCACUAAAUUUCCAUCCAGGCGUUAUUCAUGGAAUUUUGUGAGGUCAAACAUGGCAACAGUGUGCGGCGCAGGCUGCAGCCAAGCCGAAUGUUUAUGGAUCAAACUAGAUGGGCCUUCGGAGAGCACUCAUAAUGACUCUGUUAGUCUCCUCCAGAGGAAGCUAUGGUUUGGCCAUCUGGUUCCAGGGUAAGGAUGGAGGCCAGGAUACACUUACAAUGACUAGUGUGGCAGACUGGAGAGUUUGUUUCUACAACAGUAAAAAAGAAGAGAAAACUGCCAAUGGGACAGCUUUGUUACGAAGGGACGUCUGCUGUUUGGAGAAAACUGUCUGUGAGGACAAGAAACUGUAUAAAAAAUCAGAUAUUUCCUGCAGUUUGGAAGAAAUUUAAAAAAAACUGUGAAACUGUACAAGAAAUAUUCAAAACAGGAGCUGAAUUUACCUAUUUAACGUGAGAAUUAUACAUUAAUUGUGUCUACCUUUAAUCCUAACGGGCUGCUUUGAUAUUUGCAAUUAUAAUGUGUAUCACUAUAUAAAUCUGGGCCAUGUACUGUAUAUGAUCCAGAAAACAGUAGCUGACAAUAAAGUAAAACCUUCUCCUUUUUUAAUGUUUUGCAUUUUGCACGUGCUCUGUAUUCACUGUCAUGUUUUCACAGCUUCUAAGCUCAUCAAUAUGUUUUGGGGGAAUCAAAACUUCACUCAACACAUUCAUUCACCUAGUCUGCCCUCUAGCUGUUUUUCACAGAAAUAGCCCG
This is a long non-coding RNA of Amphiprion ocellaris (clown anemonefish), 1947 nucleotides long. The record is from Ensembl. Lineage: Eukaryota; Metazoa; Chordata; Actinopteri; Pomacentridae.